GACAGAGGUCUCGAGCGUUAGGCGGAAUCACUGGGCUUAAAGCGUGUGUAGGUGGAUUUCUAAGUGCCUUGUGAAAUCCCACGGCUUAACCGUGGAACUGCUGGGCAUACUGGGAGUCUUGAGCCAUCUAGGGGCGACUGGAACAAACGGUGGAGCGGUGAAAUGCGUAGAUAUCGUUUGGAACGCCAAAGGCGAAAGCAGGUCGCUGGGGAUGAGCUGACACUGAGACACGAAAGCCAGGGGAGCAAACGGG
Molecule: ribosomal RNA, 253 nt
Filed under: uncultured bacterium
Lineage: Bacteria
Description: partial 16S ribosomal RNA
Rfam family: Bacterial small subunit ribosomal RNA
Source: RNAcentral